Molecule: ribosomal RNA, 446 nt
Filed under: uncultured eukaryote
Lineage: Eukaryota
Description: bacterial SSU rRNA
Rfam family: Eukaryotic small subunit ribosomal RNA
Source: RNAcentral
CUCACCAGGUCAGGACACGGUAAGGAUUGACGGACUGAAGGCUCUUUCUCGAUUCCGUGGAAAGUGGUGCAUGGCCGUUUUUGGUUGGUGGAUCGAUCCGUCUGGUUAAUUCCGUUAACGAACGAGACCUCGGCACUCCGAAUAGCGCGGCGGACGUCGCGGCCUCCGGGCCGUCUUCCGCACGAGCUUCUUAGAGGGACCGUCCCCCGCCGGGGGAAGGAGGUGCGAGGCAACGACAGGUCUGUGAUGCCCUUAGAUGUUCUGGGCCGCACGCGCAUUACACUGACGCGUCCAACGGGUGACUCCCGACCCGAAGGGGCCGGGGAAUCCGCAAGGCGCGUCGUGAUGGGGAUUGAACGUUGCAAUUGUUGUUCACGAACGAGGAAUUCCUAGUAGGCGCGGGUCAUCAACCCGCGCCGAUUACGUCCCUGCCCUUUGUACACACC